UGUGACGAGUUUGAUCAUGGCUCAGAACGAACGCUGGCGGCAGGCCUAACACAUGCAAGUCGAGCGAACCCUUCGGGGUUAGCGGCGGACGGGUUAGUAACGCGUGGGAAUAUACCCUUUGGUACGGAAUAGCCUCGGGAAACUGAGAGUAAUACCGUAUGUGCCCUUCGGGGAAAGAUUUAUCGCCAAAGGAUUAGCCCGCGUUGGAUUAGAUAGUUGGUGGGGUAAUGGCCUACCAAGUCUACGAUCCAUAGCUGGUUUGAGAGGAUGAUCAGCAACACUGGGACUGAGACACGGCCCAGACUCCUACGGGAGGCAGCAGUGGGGAAUCUUAGACAAUGGGCGCAAGCCUGAUCUAGCCAUGCCGCGUGGACGAUGAAGGCCUUAGGGUUGUAAAGUCCUUUCAGAUGGGAAGAUAAUGACGGUACCAUCAGAAGAAGCCCCGGCUAACUCCGUG
RNAcentral lists this ribosomal RNA (457 nucleotides) under uncultured bacterium. RNAcentral's name for it is "bacterial SSU rRNA". It matches the Rfam family "Bacterial small subunit ribosomal RNA", at positions 1 to 507 of the family's 1533-position model. The record is from RNAcentral.